RNAcentral lists this long non-coding RNA (264 nucleotides) under Musa acuminata (dwarf banana). Its description in RNAcentral is "long non-coding RNA (MACU_LNC006793)". The record is from RNAcentral. Lineage: Eukaryota; Viridiplantae; Streptophyta; Magnoliopsida; Zingiberales; Musaceae.
CUUCUCUCUUCCUUCCUCCCCACCAGUUCAACUCGAGGGGCUCAUGACGCGUGGGCUAUAUACAACACGGUGGCCGAGGGAUGGGGGUGAACCAGCGGGCGAGCCGCCGCGCGGUUUCGCCAAGCGCACCGUUUGGCGGCGCGGUUCUGUCGUAGGUGUGUAUUUGCACGCAUGCAGACGCAGUCGUCCCGUUCCCGUUUGCUUUCUUCGAUUGGCAACAAUGAUGGUUGGGAAGGACGAAGCAGGAUUCAAGAAACAUGUUCC